GAUGAACGCUGGCGGCGUGCCUAACACAUGCAAGUCGAACGAGAAGCUAACCUUUGAUUCCUUCGGGAUGAUCAGGUUGGCAGAAAGUGGCGAACGGGUGAGUAACGCGUGGGUAAUCUACCCUAAAGUGGGGGAUAACCCUCCGAAAGGAGGGCUAAUACCGCAUAAUAUCUUCUCCUCUAAAGAGGUAAAGAUUAAAGGUGGCCUCUAUUUAUAAGCUAUCACUUUAGGAUGAGCCCGCGUCCUAUUAGUUAGUUGGUGGGGUAAUGGCCUACCAAGACCACAAUGGGUAGCCGGUCUGAGAGGAUGUACGGCCACACUGGGACUGAGAUACGGCCCAGACUCCUACGGGAGGCAGCAGUGGGGAAUAUUGCGCAAUGGGGGAAACCCUGACGCAGCGACGCCGCGUGGACGAUGAAGGCCUUCGGGUUGUAAAGUCCUGUUCUGGGGGAAGAAACCUUAAGGGUCCAAUAAACCCUUAAGCUGACGGUACC
This 494-nucleotide ribosomal RNA is filed under the name uncultured bacterium. Its description in RNAcentral is "bacterial SSU rRNA". It matches the Rfam family "Bacterial small subunit ribosomal RNA", at positions 28 to 479 of the family's 1533-position model. The record is from RNAcentral.